RNAcentral lists this long non-coding RNA (29816 nucleotides) under Capsicum annuum. Its description in RNAcentral is "long non-coding RNA (CANN_LNC000818)". Lineage: Eukaryota; Viridiplantae; Streptophyta; Magnoliopsida; Solanales; Solanaceae. The record is from RNAcentral.
AAAAUCUCAACUUGAUUUCAAACCCUAGAAAUGAUAUUUGUACUUGCAAAACCAAUAAUAUUUCUUGAAAGUAGUAAUGGAAUAUAAACAAAACCAAUAGAAAUACAUUUGGUAUUUAUAGAUAAAAAAGAAAGCUAUCCUAAUGAAAAUAGGAGUACAAAAGUCAGUGAUGAAGAUGCCUCUAACAAUAAAUCAUUAAGUCUGGGGACAACUUAUCAUCAUUCUCCUUCCAGGUGUUGCCUAAUUUUUUAGUUCAUUGAUGAUGACUCAUUUAGUCACCUUACGAGUCAUUGAGUGACUCAUCUCUACUUGGACCAUUAUUAACUCUUUUAGGACUUUUCAUGCCUUGCUCAUGAUGACUGAUCACAAUGAUUUAUUAUGGGACCUAAUAGGUCAUGGCCUCUCUUUGUUCUCUACUUAUCCUUCAACUUUCCAUGGCUUUUAAAAUAAACUAGAGUCAUAACAUCUUUAUGCUAUGGCUCAUUACAUGUGACAACGAGUUAUAUUCAGCAUAUGUAGUCAACUCCUCCAAGCCUAACAUUAGUCUGGUCAGGUUAUGACUGGGAUAUGAGUCGUACUGUGACCAAAUGGCUUGUAGCCUAGUGUCCUUUAUCCAUACUUGUGAAAUUUAGUCUUUAAUUUAUUCCUUCACCUCUGACCCUAUUUUCCUGCAAAACAACACAAACCACAUCCUAUCUACAUAACCAAGCCUUUAGAUUAGCAUAGUUUUAUUAUUUUAAGCAUUUAAAAUGUCGUGAAAUCAGGGCACAUCAAGCAUGCAAACAAAACAAAAUAUACUAUACCAGAUGCUUAACCAAGAGAGAUCUAAGAAUACUACAAAAAUCCAAAAAAAAUCAUUGUUUAGCAUGCAUGAGACAAAACAUAGUUCAAAAACCUUGCAAUGACAUUUAAAUCAACAAGUGAAGUGCAUCACUUUUAAACAAUAUAAAAUAAUGAGAUCAAUUCAUGGAUAUUACAUUAGCAGGAGACCACCUAACACGUUAGACACAUACCACUACCUAAUAAAGCAACAACUAAAAGAUAGACCUUAUUACCUCACAACAAAGAAGUCCCACACUUGCUAUAUGUAAUGUAAAGCAAUAACAAGGACAAAAUCAAAUCUCUUAAUCUCACAAGAUAGUCUGGCAAUGUGUGUUUUGUAUCAUUGGAUUGCCCUUAGUUUCUAUACCUUAACUUUCAAAAAUUCAAAUCUGGUUUACUGUAUGACUUUAUUAGCUUAUAAUAUAGGCUCAAAGGUAGUUACGAUAUACAUAUGGGUAUAGUGAUUGUCCCUUUUUACUACUAUGCUAACUUUUGGCUUUCACUUUUAUGUAUGUCCUUCUAUUUCAUUAACUUUUUCAACAUUAUUUUACUUUUUUAGACUCCGAAUGUGGGUUUACUUUCUUCUUUUUUUUCUUGUCAUUUUAUUUUUUAUUUUCCCUUUCUGAUAUCUCGCUUUUUUUCUUAUAGACAUCAUACUCAAAUAUUUUUUUCUUUAUAUUGCACUUUUAUUAUACCCAAUCCUAUACGCACCUCUAUGCUAGCCGCCCUCAACAUAGGCAAUUUUCCUGAGUUAAGGUAUACAGUGUCCAAGAAGGGACUGGGGCCAAAGUAGGUUCAUUGUAAAAUUAGGAAGGUGAACAGGGUAAUCCAAAGAUAAGGGCAAAUUAGGCUCAACUUUUGGAUUCAAGGGAUUAACAUAUUCAUUUGGCAUGCUAUUUCAGUUAUAGUGGACUAUUUUAAGAAAGACAUAUGAUACUUUCCUAACCUUCUAUCCUACAACUAUUAAUGAGACUAACAGGUAAGUUCUAGACCACACAUACAUGCUGACUUGGUACAUCCUCACAUACCCUUGGCUCAUGGUUGUUAUUAUGGUUACUAUCUAUUUAAUUCUUGCACAGUCUGACUAGGUUAUCAUGCAACUAAUACUAAUGCUAUGAAGAGUUCCUAACAGUGUUUACAGUGAAGGUAAGCACACCACAUAACACAAAAAUUAAAUAUUGGAGGGGAGUCAUUUUAAAAGGUUUCAAAAAUAGGUUUGAAUGCUUCUUUUAUUCUGACUACAUUAGGUCAUCUAAGUUUACUAUUAGUUACGCACAAAACACCAAACAUAUAAAAAUCUAAUAGAAAUACCUAAACAUGGAAGUAUUAACUAUGAUAGCGCAACCAAGAACAAAAAUAUGAUAACAAAAAACCUCAACUAUGGCAUACCGCACCCCACCCUAAAAUUAGAAGUUAUACAAUUUCUGCAUUGCAUAAAAUUUUAGGAAAAUAUAUAAGAAGGGUAAAGGAUAUAUCUGUGGUGCAUAAGGCAUCAUAUCAUGAUUUUUCCUCUGCUAGGGCCUCAUAAUGAACCCUAGUCCUAUCAGUAAUGGCCUCGAUGGGGGCUAUAGCUUUCAUAUCAGUAUUGGCAGAAUUAGAGUCGGUGCACUCAAUGGUGUAAAAUGCAUAGGGGGAGUACAAUACCUACUCUCAUCAACUCUUGAAGCAUUGCAAAUCAUAGACUCAACAAAUCUAAAGAUCUCAACUCUCCCCCCUUUCUCAUAGACCUCAGAUAACUGGUUUUGCAUAGACUUCUUGCUUGCUACAAUGUCCUCUUUCAUUUAUUCUUUUUCCGACUCAUACUUCUCUUAAUCUCUCUCUUCACCACCUUUUGUUGUUUUCUUAUCUUUUGUCCCCCAUAUAUCGAUACCUUAUCCACUUAAAUAUCCUUAAAAUAGACAUGGUAGGAUUUAAAAAGAUGGAUAUAGCCUCACGACCAUGACCUCUAUAGCGGAUCAUAGUGCAUCUAACUCCUCAUGAAUGCCCUUCAAAUCUACAGAUUGCAUGUCUUCCUAAUUUUUUUGAAUUCUUCUCUAAAAAUUAUCAAAUAGGGUCUGAACUCUGCAUAUCUCAACCUAAAUUUCCUUUUUCACCCUUGGUUGCAUCCCCUCUUUAAUGUUAGCUACUUUUCACCUAGGGUGAGAAAUAUUGUCAUCACAUAAUUUAAAAAAUCAUAAAAAACCAAGAUGUAUCUAUAGAUGGGUGGAAGUGUCAUAAAUGGUGUCAAAGUUGAUGGUAUCGGGGCUUUAAAUGGUCUAGAAGUUGUGGAAGUUGUGGCAUUAGUAGUAGAUAUCAAAUCAAUUUGUCUCAGUCUUAGCCUGAUACUUAACCUGUAUGUCCCCAAAGUUCAGUAAAGCCUAGGGUAUCAAUAUCCAAUAGUGCACUCAACAAUAAUGCAUUCUAAAGUAGUGCAACACCAACUUAUGCCCUCAAAAUUAGGUUUUAAUGAUCCCAAAUCAACCAGAAAUUAAUGGUCUGGUAGACCCUAAAAAAAUAAAAAUAUCAGGUUGCACAGGCACCCUAUCCUCCAAAAUUCUUCAUUACCAAGCAUGGGAAAGCUAGGCUCAUAUCAAUACUUACAACUCUAUCUCAAAUCUCUUAUGUGAUGAUCUUUGUAAUGUCAAUUUCAUAUUUCUCCAUAAUAGUGGCUAUCAGGGCAUCCCUGUCAGGGUUCAAAGAGUUGUCACCUACUGCAGGUCCCAACUGGUAUCAAAUCAGUGCCCACUAUGACUUAGCUCAGAAAUUAAGACUUUUUUUAUAAUCUAUAAUGGCAUACCUUCAACCCAAGGAGCAUUCUCAUGUGCUAUAGCAAUAAUACCAGCUCUCCAUCUUAAGUGUACCAACUUAUCCUUACUACCUAUCUACUUAAUUUUGAUCUUUUGCAUAUUGUCAAUCCGGUGAUUAAUCUCUGAUAUGUCAUCCAAAGGCAUAAAUUUAACCCCACGUAAAAAAGGGAAAUAGUCUAUGUAGAGCUAUUAACUAGAACUCCAUGAAUCAUCAAUGAAUAAAUAGGGCCAUUAUCCUUCCUAGCCAACGCUUACUGAUGCAUCUGCUUUAACUCUAUAAGAUAUAUAGUAUAAAGAUCGUGAACUAGAGUUGGGCUAUAUCUACCAGAUUCUCCUGUCAUCUAUUCAAAAUGAUAUUUCUUGAAUAGAGGUUCAAAGUCUAGCAUAUCACACAUUCCUAUAGAAAAUUACCUAGGAUCCAUAUAAAACCCUCACUUUGGUUGACCUGUAUUACAGAUGAUAGCACUAUCAUGCUUAUAUAAUUUCUACUUGGCUGGGUACCACCACCAAUUAACUAUCAAUACUAGAUUUUCCUUAAUAUAUAACCUAGGCUAGGUUGGUGGUGAAGGUGAAGUGGAACUUCCAAAGGAGAACUGUUAGUAGCACCCCUAUCCUCACUCUCAAGCAACCCUUUUAAGCUAGAUCUUGAUCCUAGUUCACUAGACUAACUGCAAGAAGUAUCCUUAUAUCCUCUCUUAAAGAUACUCUCUUUUCCUUCCUCCUCAGAAACAAACCCAGAACCAAGCCCUCAAUCCUUAUUAUAUUGAGGAAGAGAAAGUAAAUAUGGUGUAGAGGCUCGGGCACUCUUUAUUUAGAGCCUUGAUUGAUUUCCUCAAGGCCACCUAAUCUGUGGAUGAACUGGACCUAAGAUAGCAUUUCUUUCACUGAUCCACUAGACACCACUUCCUCAUAUGGUUCAUCUUUUAGUUAGUGAGUGCACCGGGCCUAUUUCUUUAGAUUCAACUUGCCUUUUUAUUUAUGCCCUUGGUGUUGUCAUUCAUGGGUGACAUUUUACUCAUGGGGGAUCAUACAUUAGUAAAAAUAAUUCUACAUAGACAUUAAAAUGAGUAAUAAAUCAUUAUUCAAGUUACCCUAUUCCCAGUAACUACGAGUUAAUUAAUGAUUUAUUGUUUUUAAAGAUGAGUCGUUGUCAGACUUGUAGUGUAGUGGGGUGAUGGGUUAACUUUACUUCUUCAUAAUGUCUGUGCCCUAUGAUUUGUUAGGUCACACAAUGACUUGUUCGGUGAUUUGUCAAAUAUAAUCCUUCAAAGUUCACUACAGGUCCUUAGGACGGUUCACCUGACGAUUCAUCUAGCAGCCCUACUAAUCAUUGAGUGACUCAUAGGGAGAACAAUUUUAAUUGAUAGGGACUUAACCAUGUUCUUGAACUAGGUGCAUUCACUAUGACUCAUAUGACCACUCAUAUCAUAUGGAAACAAGUUCUUUGAAGAAUCAUAGGGACUAUAAAUAGGUAGUCGCUAUCUUAUUUAUCAAUUCAAACUCUUCUUGCACUUUUGUUUGAGCACAUAAUAAUGUUAUUACUAUACAAAGAAGCAUUAGGGUAGAUAUAUAGACACUCCUCCCAGGAUGUGUAUGAAAAUCAAUACUGAGGAUAGUUAGACUUUAUCCCAGACAACCAAUAAUUUAAAAUUUAAACUACCUAAUAACCCCUCAUCCACAAUACAAGUGAACUUAUCACCCCUAAUUUCUCAAGAUUUUUAAUUUAUGGUUUUUAAAACAUACGGGAUUCACCACUAUGAUUUCACUAAAAGUAGAUAAUUUCUCAAGUUGUUUCCUUACAUGAUUUAGAGAGACUAUGGGAUGAAAGUGUACCUAAGAUACUGGGCAUAAAUGAGAGGGUACAUGCUAUGUCUACUGCACAAACAAAAAGUAUGAAGGUUCUGGAACAACAACACCUUCCUAAGAGAUCUAUAAAGCUAAUUGUAGUACCUAGGUCCCAGACUGAGGGCCCAAUAGUUUCCACAGAGCCUGAUAAUGCACAUGGAGGUGAUAUGGGUAUUGGUAUUGACAUCGAGAUAGGGGAGAAAGAAGAGGAUCCAGAUUAUAGUAUGUUAGGCGUAGGGACACCAUCUACUUCUUCAUUAGCUGUAGCUUCAACCUCAAAGUCAUUUGGUGUAUCUUUAGAGCCUACUCGCCCAUCUACUAAAACUCCAACUAUAGGUAUGAUUAGUAUAUCUAGAGAGUUCUUGCAGAGCUUAGUGGAUAGUAAGAGGGCCACAAAUGCUCGAUUGAUGUGUGUUGAGACUGAGAUGAAUACCCUCUACGAGCAGAUGAGAUUAGGGGUUAGGACCAGAUUCGAGUAGAGAGAGAUCAGAUGGGAGUCCGUAUAGAGAGCUGGUUUGUCUAAGAUACAUACUAACUUCCAUACAUGUUUGGAUAAGUUUAAGAGAUAAUUUAUAUCCUAAUUCAAAGAGACAGAUACCCUAGAUCUAGCCCAAAUGAGGAAGGAUUUUGAUAUAUCACGAGCAGGGGUAUGCUCUCUCACAGAGAGCCAUAUAGCAUCCACUUCAUUAGUUAUACACCAGUGGUCAAGCUAUCAACUCCACGCAUAUUAAGAUAAUUUGAUUUCCUUGUGGAGGAUGAUAAAGAGGUCCCAACAGUUAGGGCCAAUAGAGGUCACAUUAGAGACUUGCAGGUUCCUGAUAUACCAUAUGACCAGGUCGUUAAAAGGGCCAAACAUAAUUUGAUGGAUACUAUAGUCGUUGAUAGGCAGAGGCAUAUAGAGCUAGCAGUGGAUGCUUCAUCUAGUAUAGAAACACCAUCGCUGCCUCCUCCAGUUGAUAUGCCCCCUUCUGGGGAUGCUCAUUACACGGGUGCCUAGUGUAUCUCAGGUAUGUUCUAAAUUCUCUUUAUUUUGUAUAAUUUUAGUGCAUUGAGGAAACUGCUUAGUUUUUUAGUUAGAGGUGGGAUGUACCAUAGUCACCGCAGGUUUUUGUUUCAUUGCUUAUUUUUCUGUUUGUCGCGGUAUGGUUGUAGAACUGACAUGCCUAGGAUAAUUUAUGUAGUAUUGUGUUUUUUUUUCAUAUUGUGUUUUUCUUUUGCCUAAUUAGGAGAUUUUUAAGUAUUUAGGGUAGUGGUCAUGUUUUUCAUUGAUUUUUGAGAAAAAUGAUACCGCUCUAAAUUUUGUUUUUAAGAGCUGUGUGAAUGUAUAUAUGUGUUAACUUUGUGAAUCUUGUUAUGGCAUCAGGAUCAGGGGCAUGAUAAUCACUUGCUAACAAUUGUAUAAACCGAAUAAGUAGUAGCUUGUAAUAUUGACUCUAUGCUUUGAGUUUGACAUACUACCUAGUUCCCUUUGUGUGUUGAAUUUAGAACUUGCCUGGUCAGUCCUUCCUAGAUUGAAAGAUAGUCGGUUAUGAAAGUAUCAUAAGCCAUUUUUUAAUUUUAGUCCACUUUUAGACUAAAUGACCUUCUAUGUGAGAAUUGUAUCCCUUGAUUCCUAUUUUAAGUCUUGUAACCUAUUUUUCUUUGAUUUCACCUAUUCAUCUUUCUGUUUGUAUUAUAAUGAUCCGAUUUUGUCCCAGGUCCUCCUUCGACAUUGUGCACCUCGACCAGGCAAAAUGCCUAAGUUAAGGAAGGCUAUCAUAGGGGUACGCUGUGUAAAAUGGGUAUGUAGAUGGGUAAAAUAAGAGAAAAAGUUAGUAAGGCUAGGUGAGGUAGCAAAAGAAAAGAAAAGAAAAAUAAAAAUAAAAUAAAAAAUUGUGGAAAAGGUGAAAAAAGAAAGACUAAAGGACCACAUCCAACGUGAAUAUGCAUUAAAAUAAAAAGGGAGAAAUAAAGGUGGAAAUAAAGUGAAAAAUGGGCUAGUAAGUGAGACCCCAAGGUUAGUGUAGUGCCAAGGAGGCUUAGUCACUCAAUAUGUCCAUAGGUAUCGUACCAACCCCCAAGUCUACAUUACAAGAUGAGAAACGCCCUAUAGUGAUCCUAACUUGACUAUCUGAAUGCUAAGGUAAAGAAAAUAAGGGCAAGCCUAUGGUAUUUGAUGCAUAUUGAUUGGAACUUCUCUUCUGAGUGUGAGUGUCUCUUAACUAUUCCUGCAUUGACAUACAUUAUCCCAUCUAUGCUUUCAAUCAUGAAUGUUGUUGAUUACUUCACAAGUAUGAGUGGCUAAAAACCUAUAGCUAGGGUUGUGAAAACCCUGGCAUAUUGAGGAAGUAGAGAAAGUGCUAUUGUUGUUCUGAACUGAUGCCCAUGCAUGUAUUGCUUUAUCUUUAAUGUAAUAGUUCUAUUAAUAGGUGAACAUGUUAGGAUCCUACCUAUAUUAUUGCUACUUACUCCAAAAGAGAAGUAGUGACUAGGAAAAGAUAAAGACAACAGUUAUUUGGAGUUUAGCCAUCGAUCCACACUUUUAGGUUUUAUCUAUGUAAGAUGGUUAGAUUUUAUAUAAUAACUAGAUACUUAAAAGAUAAUAUCUAACUGGUAUCAAGAUAAGGGUUAGUAAAGUGACACCCUGAGACUUAAAAGGUAAAGGGUGAAAUCCUUCUACUUGUUCAAAAGACUGUAGAAGGUAUGUAACUUAUUGAUUCUACAUGCAAGGUAUUGGGUUGGUUAAACAUAGAACAAGAAGACAAUGGAGUUGAAAAUCAAUGGGGAAUACAAUCCUAGUGUUCACUCAUGACUUAUUAAAACCGAAGUUGAUAUUUUCCACUUGACUGAUAUUGUUAUUCAAACCCCCCAUUUAUUUUUCCAGUUCCGCCUGUUCACAAUAACUGAGGGUCGUGAUUCCACGUAGUUCCUUAGGACUCGACACUAACCUUUUUUGGGUUACUAUAUUUGGAAGAAAACAUAUCAUCUUCUGAGAGGAGUUAUAGCUUGGACGUCACCAAAUUUUGGCACCAUUGCCGGGGAAGACGGUGUUUAUUUGUGAUUUAAAGUUGUUACAGUUUUUAGGUUUUCUUUUUGUUUUUGUACUUAGUUGGAUAAACACUGAUCUAUGCAUAUCACACGGAGUAGAGUCAAUCCCUUAAUACUAGUAAAUCUAAAUCCGGAGAGGAUCCUAAAAACACCUAGUAGGAUGGUGGAACAGAAAAAAGAUGAUAAUCUUGAAGGGUUCAUAAUGAUGUAUCUCCCUCUCCUCCCGAAGGAGUACAAGAUAUUGUUGAUUAAUAAACCAGUCAACUCUUAGAUCAAGUUAAUAAUGAUAGAAAGGUAAUAGAAGAAUCUUAGUAGAUAGCUCGAAAGGCAGAGCUAGCUGAGUAGAGACAAAAAGCAGACCUCCGGCAGCACUCGGUGGAAAUCAUAAUAGAACAGAAGGUGCCCGUGUACAAGUGAUCCCAACAUAUUAGUAUGUGCAGCCAUAUAUAAAUGAUGAAGAAGAUCAAGGAUAUGUUGAGCCGUCAAAGGCUGGAUCCAUUAUUCCUUCUAUUUUAGCCCCAAGCAUCAAGUUUGACAUAACGAGCAAUAAUUUAACUCCUAAAUUUGAAGGGUGUGUUUGCGAGUCUUCCUACAGAUGAUGUAAAUUUUCACCUUGCCAAUUUAAUUAGGAUCUGUAGUUUGUAUACAAUCCAGGGGUUAAUAGGAAGCGCUUAGACUGAGUUUGUUCCUCUUCUCACUUGCAGGAGAAGUAUCUUAAUGGUUAGGGAAACUUCCAAGAGGCUCUAACAUUACAUAGAACGAGUUGUGCAGGCAAUUUUUGAACAGGUUCUUUCCUCCAUCCAAGAUAUUGAAGCAUAAGGACAAGAUCUAUAAUUUUAGGCAACUGCAGUCAGAAUCUAUGUAUGACGCAUAGUUUAGUUUUAAGAAGAAGCUGAGUAUGGUGCCCAAUCAUCAGUUAUCAAGGAUGAUCUUAUUAGAGUUAUCUUUUUGAGCCUUAACCAUUAGCUCUAGAGCCAUAGCAGACACCAUAUUUAGAGGAUAUUUAAUAAGACUACGCUGGGAGGCAUCUUUAGAGAUGUUAGAUCAGAUCUUACUCUCUAACCGAGGGUGGCAAACUUAGGAGGCUGAGAGGGGAUUUGGCACACAUGUUAUUGGUGCCUUCUGCGACCAGAAAGUAGCUGAUGAGUUAGUAGCAUAAGAAAUUGUAAUGCAGCAAAUUGAUUUAGGGGUACUAGCAAAGCAACUUAGAGCUUCAACUUUUGACUAAGUAAAUACAAUAGCAGCACAGAGGUAAGCUUCCAAAGCUUAUAAGUUAGAAUCGAAAGAGAAAAUGAAUUAUCUGAAUCGUUCGUUGUCGGGUUUCCAAGCUAAGAUACAAGGGAAUGAAGGUUGAAACUACUAUGACAGAUACAGAGACCAUAGUAGAGAGUGAGAUGGUGACUGAAGAAAGAAGGAUGACUAUAUAGAGAAGGGAGAUAGGUAUAUUCCGCCUUGAAGUUGAGAUACAUAAUUUAGAAUGAAAGAGAUGUUGACUAAUCUUGUGAAUGGUCAAGAAAAUCAGAAGAUCAACCUUAACCCUUAAGGAUAUUAAGGCUGACAUUUCAGGGUUGACCUAGAAGGUCAAGUCAUAUGACACUGCUAUCAAGUAGUUGGAGCACUAGUACGAGCAGAUGUCAGCAAGUCUGAGCUAGAGGCAGCCAGGUACCUUUUCGAGCAACACUGUGCAGAACUUGAAAAAUGACGAUCAUGAUCUUGCCAUUACUAUGAGGAGUGGUAUUACUUCUAUAGAUCUCCCACUACCUGCUGUGAAAGCUGAUGAUGAAGAUACAUAUUUAUGGAGCUAGAAAAGGCAAUAGGUGGUGAUUAUGUAGUUGUUAAGAAAAGAGAUAAGGGUCCAAUUAUUGAGCAGGAAAUAAGAAAAAAUCUGAGAACACCCCCACUUUUUCCUCAGAGAUUGAAAUAGAAGAAAGAGAAAGGUAAGUUUAAGUGAUUUAUUGAGAUGCUAAAAGAAUUGAGCCUGGACAUACCUCUUCUUGAGGCAUUGGAGUAAAUGCCUGGAUACUCUAGGUUUAUGGAAUAAUUUACCACAAAGAAGAAAGUAGCAAUAAUUGAGGAUGUUGAUGUUGUGCACCACUACAGUGCAGUCACUACGAGGUCUUUAGUUUAGAAAAAUGCCAAUCCCAGAGCAUUCGCUAUACCUUGCACGAUUGGGCCAUCCUAAUUUUCUAGAGCAUUAUAUGACUUAGGAGCCAACAUUAAUUUGAUACUGCUGGAUGUAUUCAAGCAAUUGAGAUUGAACCCUAUGGAAUCAAAUUCAAUGCGGCUAUUGAUGGCUAACAGCACAGUUGAAACACCUAUUGCCAUCUUUUAUUAUGUGAUUAUGUGUGUAGACAAUUUCAUCUUCAUGGUGAACUUGGUCAUUCUGGACUGUGAGAUUGACAUUGAGAUGCCCAUUAUAUUGGGGAGACCAUUCAUGGCCACAGGUAGAGUGAUGAUUGAUAUGGAGAAAGGAGAGCUAAAAUUUAAAGUCAACGAUGUGGAGGAAACAUUUAACAUUCAAAAAUCAAUGAAGUAGCCUACCCACAUGAGGGUGGUGUCGGUAAUUGAUUAUACUGAUGACCCUAGAGGGUACUCUUAUGGGUAUCUUGAUGAACUUUUAGUAAUCAAGAUACCCACUUCGUGCCGUGACCUUAAAUUAAGUGCUAUAUGGGAGGCAACCCAUGGGCUUAUUGGUGAAGUCUGAGUUGCAAACACAGCCACAUCGUGUUAGGAUGUUAAAUCAACCAUUGAGCGGGAGGCAACCCACUAUUUUAGUGCUCACAUUUUUGUUAUUUUUUCCUUCGUAGGUUUUAGCUUAUGUAUUUGGCCAGAAUAUGGUAAGGUUGCUACAUUCAUUGAUUUCCAAGUAAGGGGAUUAUAUAAUCGACCCAUCAUGGUCACAAAUCCCACACAGACCAGGUAAGUUGAGCAAUAAAUUGAAGAGUCGACAUUUUAAGGAUGAUAAUGAAAAGUUGUAGACUUUGGCACCUAAUCAUACUUUUAGGACCCUAAACUUACGAGACCAUAAGUAGCUGGAAAAUUAUUAAAAAAUCCAAGUUCGAAUUGCAGGGAAGGGGGGCAAAAUUUAAGGCCCUGCACCUGCUGGCUAUAGGUAGAACUUGCGCCCCAUGCCUAGUCGCAGGUGGCAGGCGCAAGUGACUACUGCGGCUAGGUCAAUUUUGGGCCCAAAUUUUAAUUAAAAUUUUAGGCCCGCCAACACAUAUAUACAACCUAAAAUAUCCCCCCAUAUCCAUAUUUAAACAUCCUUAACCUCAUUCCAACUCAUUCAAAUCCUCAAAACUUCACUUUUCUCUCUGAAUUCAAACUUUCCUUUUAAAACAUAAACUAACCCCACACUUGAGUAAAGGCUAAAUUGACACUUGUUUGAGAUACCAACUUGUACCAAUACACUAAAAACAAGUUUCAACUUUAAUUUUGCUCGAGUUCUUCAUUAUUCACUUUCGGUUCAUCAUAAAAAAGGUAACUUUCUCGGCUUCUAAUGGUUAUAUAUUGAUUCAUUUAUUGUUUAAACAAGUUGAUAUGUGUAUUCUCAUGAAAAAUAUAUAAAUGCUAUCAUGCUUGUAUGUAGGAGUGUUGAAGUAACCUAAAAUAAUAAUGUAGGGUCUUGUUUUGAAUUGAAUUUUAAGGUUAGGCCCUAACCAAAAGUUGAACUUGAAGGAAUAGAGUAAUACCACAAGUUUAGCAUAUUGAGUUGCUUUGAAAAUCAUGAUUAUUGAUUUAUGUGUGUAUAUUGGAAUUGUGUAAUUUAUAAUAGGUUAUAGGGGUGUGAAAAUUGAGGAAAAAUCCAAAAUUUUAAAAUUUUGAGUUUUUCUUCAACUUUUGCUAUCCCUCAAUUUUGUAGGAAACUUAUGACUAUUUUUUCAGGUACAUAUGGCAAAUAAAACAUCUAGGAUGAAGAAGGUUGAUACCUCAAGAAGAUGGGUAGAGUCUUUCGAUUCUAGUGGUUCAGUGAAGGAUUAACCGAUGCAGUGACGUUGAGAUAGUGCAAUAGCAGUUAUGUGUAGAGUUACUAAAGGGCAGAUGCACCAGGCUGUGCAGGAAGUUGUAUCCCGGCCAUAUAUGAAGUCAUUAUGGAUAUCAUCCCCCCAUACUCCUCCACUAAAUGAUUAUGAGGAUGAGGAAGAGACAGAUUAUGAGUCUACUCCAUAGAUUAUAGCUUAGGACCCCAAUCUGGGGAGGGGUCCCAGGUUUCAUAUGAGAAUAAUGAGCAGGAGGAGUCAUCAGUGUUACCACAGUCUUAGGAGGGUACUAUCACAUAUGUACAAUAGUUAGAUAUAUCCCAGUUUGAGAAGGGUAUCGAGCAAGCUUCCCAGGAUACAUCAGUAUAGCAGGGGACGAGUUCUGCACCUAUAUAUGUCAUUGAGAUACCUCUGCGGUGGUGUGUAGAGGAUAUAUGGGUAGUUUAUGAUAUAGAAAGUCGUAUCUUAGAUACUGGUAGGCCUAAAAGACUUAUAUUUGAGGAACGUAGGAUUGAUCUAUCGGGACUGAGGAGAUUACUAUAGUUAUAGGCAUCCUUUGAUUGAUAUCAAUUAGAGUUGAUGGAUAGACUACUCAAUUCUUACAGCCCUACUAUAGUACAUGAGUUUUCUACAUCAUACAAAGAUAAAGUAGAGAUUUCCAUGUGCAGAUUGCCCAGACCAAUGGGCAUAUAGAGUAGCUACAACUUGAUCAUAUACUUUGAAAGGGGUUAGAGUUGAUAUUUCAAUAGAGAUUAUUUGCCGAGUCAUUUUUGGUCUAGAUUAUAUUACUCCCGCAUCUAUAGAUGAGUGUGACUACAAACUUAGACUCACAUGUGAUCAAUAUAUUAUGUGGGAAGCUGAGUAUAGAUGAGAGCGAGUUGAGAUAGCUAGGUAGAUAACCAAUUAUGUUUCACCUAUGGGUGAUGCUACCCCAUGGAUUGAGGGGUAUGGUGUGAUCAAGAAGGUUAUACUGACCUUUGAGGCCAAAUUUUUGUGGUUGCUGAUGAGAUACUGAUUGUUCCCCACUACUUUAGUUAAAUUGUUGGCAUAGGAGGGAGUAACCCUAGUUUUUUGUAUAAUGGCCAGUUAUGCUAUUGAUUUCAUAGAAAUCCUCUAACAUGAAAUCCAUGACAAAGCAUUUGGGGAGUUGAGUAAUCUAUUAUUUCCUUACAUGAUUUAGAGACUAUGCAAUGAAAUUAAUAAAACUGAGAGACCAGGUAUAGAUGAGAGGGUACGUGCUAUGGCUACUAUACAGACAAAUAUUAUGAAGGGUCUUGUAUAACCAUACCUUCUGAGGAGAUCUACAGAUCCAGCCAUAGUACCUAAGGCCUAGAAUAAGGGCCUAAAAGUUUCCAUAAAGCCUAAUGAUGCACAUGGAGGAAAUAUGGGUAUUGGUAUUGACAUGGAUAUAGGGAAGUAGAGAGAGGCUCUAAAUUCCAGUACACAAGAAAUGGGACACCAGCUACUUUUUCAUCAGCCCUGACUUUGACCUAGGCGUUGGUUGGUGUAUCUUUAGAGCCUACUCGCCCAUCCACUACAGCUCUUUCUCCAGGUAUGAUUAUUAUAUCUAGAGAGUUCUAGCAGAUCUUAGUGGAUUGCCUAAGGGCCGUUGAUGCUUGAUUAAGGGUUUUUGAGACCGAGAUGACUAUCUUCUAUGAAUAGAUAAAAUUAGAGGCUAGGACUAGAUACAAGCAAACUGAGGCCAUAUGGGAGGUCGCAUAAAAAGAUACACUAUAUAAGAUAUGAACUGACUUCCAAACAUAUCUAUAUGAGUUUGAGAGAUAGGUUAUAGACUGAUUCAUAGAUAUAGAUACCCCGGAUCUAGCCUAGAUGAGGGAGGAUUUUGAUAUAUUAUAAGAAGAGGUAUGCUAUGUCACAAAGAGCCGUGUAGUAGCCACGUUGCAAAAGAAAAUAAAAAGAAAAAAAUGAAAAAAAAUGUGAGAAAAAGUUAAAAAAGAAAGAGUAAAGGACCACACCCAACCUGAAUGUGCAGUAAAAUAAAAAGGGAGAAAUAAGGGUAGAAAUAAAGUGAAAAAUGGGCUAGUAAGUGAGACCCCAAGGUUAGUGUAGUGCUAAGGAGGCUUAGUCACUUGAUAUGUCCAUAUGUACUAUACCAUCCCCAAAACCUUAAUUUCAAGCCGAGAAAAGUCAUAUAGUGAUCCUAACUUGACUAUCUGAAUACUAAGGCAAAGAAUAUAUCGUCAAGCCUAUGGUACUUGAUGCACAUUGCUUGGACCUUCUCUUCUGAUUAUGAGUGUCUAUUUAUUGUCCCUGCUUUGACAUGCAUAAGUUCAUAUGAGUGAGUGAGACAUCUUUGUUAUGAGGGUACAUAAGUCAUAUUGCUAGCUAUUUGCUUGAUUCAGGUAGUGUAACUUGUACAUAUGUGUAGUUGUCUGUUGCUUAUGUAAUGCCAUACCUUGAUCCCAUUGUGUCAUGUUAUUGUGCUUCAUGUUCAUACACAGUUGGUUUUGAAAAUUUGAGAGCGGAUAGAGUGUUGUAUUUUGAACUUUAAAGUGUUGAUUGAUUGCCUUGGAUAGCUUAGAUUCUCCUAGUUAAGCAUUGUUUUUGUUUUGUUGUGUUUUAUUUCUUGAGAAAAUUUAAGCAUUCUAAGUUGAGGGUGUUGAUUUGUAUAGAAAUAUAGCAUUUUUUACGCUUAAAAUGAGGAAAAUAUGCAAGUUUCUGAGGUUUUUUUGUUAGAUAUGAUGCAUUUUGGGUGUGUUUUGUAGGAAAUCAUGUUUUGGAUGAUAAGUUCAUGAAAAAAGAUGAAAAAGGUGUUUAGGAUGCUCAUUGGAGCAAAUAUGGACGUUCGAGAUACUUUCUGGUUUGUUCGUGAUCAAAGCAUGUUCGGGUAUUGAAGAAGAGCUAAAAAGAUGACUCCCGACACUUUCUAGGUCAACAUAUAGACUGUAAGUCAAAUCAAGUGUCAGAAGUUCAAAAUCCUGACAGCUGACUUGCAGGAUUUUUUGUUCUGGCACUUGCGCCCACCAUGCAGGCCAUAAGUGCUACCUACGCCCAAGGUCUGGGUGCAAGUGGAGACCAUAAGUGGCCACUGAGCCUAUUUUCUCCCAUUUUAGGCUUUGAAUCAUAUACUUUGAAAGGGGUUAGAGUUGAUAUUUCAAUAGAGACUAUUUGCCGAGUCAUUUUUGGUCUAGAUUAUAUUACUCCCGCAUCUAUAGAUGAGUGUGACUACAAACUUAGACUCACAUGUGAUCAAUAUAUUAUGUGGGAAGCUGAGUAUAGAUGAGAGCGAGUUGAGAUAGCUAGGUAGAUAACCAAUUAUGUUUCACCUAUGGGUGAUGCUACCCCAUGGAUUGAGGGGUAUGGUGUGAUCAAGAAGGUUAUACUGACCUUUGAGGCCAAAUUUUUGUGGUUGCUGAUGAGAUACUGAUUGUUCCCCACUACUUUAGUUAAAUUGUUGGCAUAGGAGGGAGUAACCCUAGUUUUUUGUAUAAUGGCCAGUUAUGCUAUUGAUUUCAUAGAAAUCCUCUAACAUGAAAUCCAUGACAAAGCAUUUGGGGAGUUGAGUAAUCUAUUAUUUCCUUACAUGAUUUAGAGACUAUGCAAUGAAAUUAAUAAAACUGAGAGACCAGGUAUAGAUGAGAGGGUACGUGCUAUGGCUACUAUACAGACAAAUAUUAUGAAGGGUCUUGUAUAACCAUACCUUCUGAGGAGAUCUACAGAUCCAGCCAUAGUACCUAAGGCCUAGAAUAAGGGCCUAAAAGUUUCCAUAAAGCCUAAUGAUGCACAUGGAGGAAAUAUGGGUAUUGGUAUUGACAUGGAUAUAGGGAAGUAGAGAGAGGCUCUAAAUUCCAGUACACAAGAAAUGGGACACCAGCUACUUUUUCAUCAGCCCUGACUUUGACCUAGGCGUUGGUUGGUGUAUCUUUAGAGCCUACUCGCCCAUCCACUACAGCUCUUUCUCCAGGUAUGAUUAUUAUAUCUAGAGAGUUCUAGCAGAUCUUAGUGGAUUGCCUAAGGGCCGUUGAUGCUUGAUUAAGGGUUUUUGAGACCGAGAUGACUAUCUUCUAUGAAUAGAUAAAAUUAGAGGCUAGGACUAGAUACAAGCAAACUGAGGCCAUAUGGGAGGUCGCAUAAAAAGAUACACUAUAUAAGAUAUGAACUGACUUCCAAACAUAUCUAUAUGAGUUUGAGAGAUAGGUUAUAGACUGAUUCAUAGAUAUAGAUACCCCGGAUCUAGCCUAGAUGAGGGAGGAUUUUGAUAUAUUAUAAGAAGAGGUAUGCUAUGUCACAAAGAGCCGUGUAGUAGCCACGUUGCAAAAGAAAAUAAAAAGAAAAAAAUGAAAAAAAAUGUGAGAAAAAGUUAAAAAAGAAAGAGUAAAGGACCACACCCAACCUGAAUGUGCAGUAAAAUAAAAAGGGAGAAAUAAGGGUAGAAAUAAAGUGAAAAAUGGGCUAGUAAGUGAGACCCCAAGGUUAGUGUAGUGCUAAGGAGGCUUAGUCACUUGAUAUGUCCAUAUGUACUAUACCAUCCCCAAAACCUUAAUUUCAAGCCGAGAAAAGUCAUAUAGUGAUCCUAACUUGACUAUCUGAAUACUAAGGCAAAGAAUAUAUCGUCAAGCCUAUGGUACUUGAUGCACAUUGCUUGGACCUUCUCUUCUGAUUAUGAGUGUCUAUUUAUUGUCCCUGCUUUGACAUGCAUAAGUUCAUAUGAGUGAGUGAGACAUCUUUGUUAUGAGGGUACAUAAGUCAUAUUGCUAGCUAUUUGCUUGAUUCAGGUAGUGUAACUUGUACAUAUGUGUAGUUGUCUGUUGCUUAUGUAAUGCCAUACCUUGAUCCCAUUGUGUCAUGUUAUUGUGCUUCAUGUUCAUACACAGUUGGUUUUGAAAAUUUGAGAGCGGAUAGAGUGUUGUAUUUUGAACUUUAAAGUGUUGAUUGAUUGCCUUGGAUAGCUUAGAUUCUCCUAGUUAAGCAUUGUUUUUGUUUUGUUGUGUUUUAUUUCUUGAGAAAAUUUAAGCAUUCUAAGUUGAGGGUGUUGAUUUGUAUAGAAAUAUAGCAUUUUUUACGCUUAAAAUGAGGAAAAUAUGCAAGUUUCUGAGGUUUUUUUGUUAGAUAUGAUGCAUUUUGGGUGUGUUUUGUAGGAAAUCAUGUUUUGGAUGAUAAGUUCAUGAAAAAAGAUGAAAAAGGUGUUUAGGAUGCUCAUUGGAGCAAAUAUGGACGUUCGAGAUACUUUCUGGUUUGUUCGUGAUCAAAGCAUGUUCGGGUAUUGAAGAAGAGCUAAAAAGAUGACUCCCGACACUUUCUAGGUCAACAUAUAGACUGUAAGUCAAAUCAAGUGUCAGAAGUUCAAAAUCCUGACAGCUGACUUGCAGGAUUUUUUGUUCUGGCACUUGCGCCCACCAUGCAGGCCAUAAGUGCUACCUACGCCCAAGGUCUGGGUGCAAGUGGAGACCAUAAGUGGCCACUGAGCCUAUUUUCUCCCAUUUUAGGCUUUGAUUUUAGGGUUUUCUCAUGUACUAUAAAUACAAUUUAUGUGUUUUUUAGUAGGAGUUACGCACUUUUGAUAUUCAUAAAUAUAUUUUGAUUUCAAAAUUAGAUUUUGAUCUUAGGAUUCUCUUGUAUUAGCUCCAAUUGAUUAAUUCAGUUGCGAUUGUGGGUUUUGCUUAUUAUUUUGAUUUCAUCUAUGCUUUCAAUCAUGAAUGUUGUUGAUUACUUCGUAAGCAUGAGCAGCUAAAAACCUAUAACUAGGGUUGUGGAAACCCUAACGGAUUGACAAAGUUGAGGAAGUGCUAUUGUUGUUUUGAACUGAUGACCAUGCAUGUAUUGUUUUAUCUUCAAUAUAAUAGUUUUCUUAAUGGGUGCACACAUUAGGAUCCCACCUAGAUUAUUGCUACUUACUCCAAAAGAGGAGUAGCAACAAGGAAAAGAUAAAGACAAUUGUAAUUUGGAAUUUAGUUAUUGAUCCACGCUUCUAGGUUUUAUCUAUGUAAAAUGGUUAGAUCUCAUAUAAUAAGUAGAGAGGAAGAAGGUUAUAGUUAACUGGGAUCAAGAUAAGGGUUAGUAAAGUGACACCCUAAGACUCAAAAGGAAAAAGGUGAAAUCCUUCGACCUGUCCAAAAGACUGAAGAAGGUAAGUAACUUAUUGAUUUUGUAUUUAAGGUAUUGGGUUGGUUUAACAUAGCACGAGAAACCAACAGAGUUGAGAAGCCAGGGGGAACAGAAUCCUAGUGUUAUUUCUAUUCAAAACUACCCAUUACUUUUCCAGUUUAGCCUGUUGACUACAACAACUGAGAACCGUGAGUCCAUGUAUUCCCUUGGGAUUCAACCCCAACCUUUUUUGGGUUACUAUAUUUGACAGCGACCGUAUCAUCUUCUGAGAGGAGGUGUAGCUUGGACACCAUCAUGCAGCUCUUGCAUAGCAGUGGGUAAUUUCUCAGGCUAUUACAUAAAGAUCCACAAGUCUAUUUACAGAAAUUUUUAGAGAUCAGUGAGACAUAUUCAUCCCUACGGUUGUGCCAAAUAACUGUGUGAGGCUGAUACUUUUCCCCUUUUCACUAUUAGGGGAAACGAAGAAGUGGUUGAAUGCUGAACUGGCAGAUUUAAUCACAGCUUGGUAUGACUUAGCCUGGAAGUUCAUCAUUCACUUCUUUGGGCAAGACUGCAAGACUUCGCAGUGAGAUUUUGAGUUUUAAACAAAGGCCAGAUGAGAACCUUUAUCAUGCUUGGUAAAGAUUCAAAUUUCUUCUUCGAGAAUAUCCAUAGCAUCAACAAUCCAAUAAAGUAUUAUAUCACACCUCUUUUGAAGCCCUUGACCACAACAUGAUAAUUCUACUAGAUUCAGCUUUAGUUGGUCAAGCUCUGGAAAAGACUUAUGAUGAGUUGUAUACCUUGUUGAACCAAAUCGCACAAGGAAUUCAGAUUUGCAUGGUGAUGCUUCAAGAAGAUGAAUUCAAAAGGUUUUAGGCAUUAUUGAAGUUGACAGCAUUACAACCUUUGCCGCCCAACUAUUAUCUCUGUAAAAUCAAAUAAUGACAUAAUUUAGUAAGUUGGGUGUGCAACAGUCUCAGACUCAGGUGAAUACAGUGCAACAGACUCUGACAUAGUCUGAGGUUUAUGUCAAUAGUGGCCACUCUGCAGAUAUGUAUGGUGCAAAUCUUGAGUCAAUUAAUUUUGUGGCGUAAUGCUCAAAGGCCAAAUCAUGGUAAUGCCUACAAUCAAAAGUGGUAGACUCAGGCACCAAAUUUCUCAUGGAACAACAAUCAGCCACAAUAGUUUUAGUAGUAGUAGAAAAAUACAUAGGACAGUAACACAGAGGACAUAUUAAAUAAGUAACAUAGACACCUAAAAAUAGAUGGCUACUGAACUAAAAAAUUAGCACGUACUUCAGAAGCAGUUGGAGUAUCAGUUGGGGAAAAUACAGCAAGAGCAAAAUACCACGCCUCAAGGUGGUUUGCCAAGUGACACUGAACCUCUUAAAUAAUUAAUGGCAAUUACUUUGAGAUAUGGUAAAGAGUUAAUUGAUAGACCCCCAAAGACAAAUAAGAGGAAGAUUCAGAGUUGAUUCCUCAACCGACUGCAAACCAAGUUAUUGAUUAUUCAGGAAGUUUGAGUACUCAAAAAAAAAUUGUUGAACAGGUUAAGGUGUAUCCACCACUUCUAUUUUAACAUAGGCUAAGAAAAGCAGAGGAGGAUGCAUGUUUCAAGAAGUUCUUUGACACAUUCAGAGAGCUUUACAUUAACCUUCCUCUUUUCGAUGUUUUGUAGGAAAUGCCUAAGUAUGCUAAGUACUUGAAGGAAAUGGUUAUAAUAAAGUUAAGCUAUAGGAUGUUGAGACAGUAGCACUCACUGAGGAGGGCAACUUUGUAGUGAUGCAGAAAAUGCCCAAAAAGCUUAAGGACCCUAGAAAGUUCACUCUCCUCAUUCAAAUUGGUAACAGUGAGCUGGUUUAUGCACUUAGUGAUUUGGGGGUAGGUAUCAAUUUGAUGCCCCUAUCAAUAUUCAAUACUUAGCUCUUGGGGAAGCCAAGAUCGUACUCUAUGCUACUUUAAAUGGCAGACCAGACUAAAGUUCAUCCUGAAGGAAUCAUCUAAGAUGUUCUCAUCAAAGUUGGUAAGUUUAUUAUCCCUCUUAAUUUAAUUAUUUUAGAUUAUAGGGUAGAUUACAAGGUGUCAAUUAUCUUGGGACGUCCAUUCUUAGAGAUGGGAGGGGCAAUGAUAGAUAUGAGAGAGGGCACACUCAAAAUGAGAUUGAUUGAUGAAGAGGUGGUCUUCAUGAUUUACAAACCACUCAACACACUGCAUUACAAGAUUUAUGCAUGAUUAUAGAGAUGGAAGUGGAUGAGCGUGGGGAGGUGGAUCCUAAUCUACCAAAGACCUCUUUAAACACCUUCAUUAAGCUACCUAAGUCACCAAUACCUAAGCCCGAAGGUAUGCUGAUUGGUGAGCCUUAAAAGGCUAUUAUUAAAAACGUUGUUGAACUUGAGUGUUCAUACUCAAAUGGUCAGAAAUGAAUAAGAAAAUAGACUCUAAGUAUGAGGAAGAUGAUGAAUAAAAAUAGUUAAGUGUGAUAUUGCGUUGUGCUGCGACACUAAAUUAGGCACUGCUUGGAAUGCAACCAAAGUAAAGGUAGGUUUUAUUUUCAGUAUUUUUACUUUUUACUUCACAUAUUUUUUGUAGUUUUUGAGUCACAAGUUGAUGGGAAGUCUGAGUACCAUAAAACUGAGCUAAGGAACAUGGCGAAGACUGAGUGUGGGGUCCUCAAACCCUCUUGAUGUAUAAAGAUGCUACUAGAUAGGCCUAGAGGCCUCAGGGAGUAUUUCUAUCUGUACUUUUAGUAUAUUUUGCGGACAAAGUAGAUUUUUAAGUGUGGGGUAAGGAAAUUCCCAUGGUAUCUUUUUUUCUUUCUUUAGGACUAAUUUAAAAGAAAAUUAUUUUAGGUAAGUGAGAUAUUCUUGUUGGUGCUAUGUAUGAUUACCAGAUGGAAGUGUUUUGGUUGUAAAAUCAUGUUGACUAUGUGAAUUACUACUCUUGAGACUCCUAGGCUUAUGAUUCUAAUUCUUAUACAUUGUUGGCUUAAUGUUGAAUUCAUGCUAUUAUUUGGUUGAGAGUUUAUGAUGAUCCUACUUGAGUUGAGCAUGUGCCAUGUGUGAUGUGAGAUUGUUAUGUAUUCCUUGUUGCAUUUGAUGCUAGAACUUGCCCAGUGUGUGUGCAAAAUGAAAUAAAAAGUGUGGGUUUAGUAGAUGAUAUAGGCAUUUCUUUGAUAGCCAUAUUUCAUACCCUCUUUUACCUACCAUUGUGCAUAAUCUUAGUUAGCCCCAUUGAGCCUUUAGCUUGUUUUCUUUUGUAGACUCAUAUGCAGUCUGUAUCCUUUUUUUUAUUGAACUUAAUUUAAUUCAAAGCUCUUAUGCAUUUUAGUGUUGAAUUUAUUGAGUUAAGAAGUUUGAAAUUCAAGUAGGGGAAAGGUGAAAUUGAAGCCUUAAAGUAAUAGUUAUUGGUGUGUACAAUUGAUGUGUUAUGGUUAGGAGUGAUAGAAAUUUGUGCUAAAAUUGAAUCAUGAAUUAAUAGACAAUACUCACUUCCAUAUUGUAUGUGAGUGAGCUUAAUGUGAUGGGAAAAACCAAAAGAAUUAUGUGGAGGUAGAUGAGGUGAAAAAUUAGUUUUUAGAGGUGAAUCGAAUGAAAAGUGUGAUGUAUCAAAGCACUUAGGGAAGAUAGUCACUAUUACUAGCUAGAAUAGUUCCUACCCAUCCCUUAGCCUACAUUACAACCCUUAAAGACCUAUUUAUCCUAAUUCUUAAUAUUCUGAUAUUAGUGGAGUACUACACUAAGGUCAAGCCUAUGGUUUAUCUUGUGUAACUUGUGAAUUUUUUGUGAGAAUGAGCGAAAUCUAAUUCUUGUACAUAAUUUGUAAUAAAUUAUACUGGUCGUGGGUAACUCUUUUAUUGUGAAGGAACAUGUUUGAUGAGAGUUGGGUGAUUUGUAUAAUCUCUUUGAUUGAAUAAUAUGCAUGAAUUUUCCAACUUUGUGAGUCAAUUCUUGAGUCUAGGAUGUUUUUGGAUUAGUAUUCUUGAGCUUUCAAUUGUGUGUAUAACACGCUUAGUGUAAAAACUUGCAUUCUAUGUAGUCAUUGUAGUACUAGCUUGAGUGUAUUGCUUGUAGUAGAAGUGUGGAGUCUCCUUUGGUUAUGAUGCUUAGAUUAAAGAGUUGUUCAAGGAUGAACAAGGCUUUAAGUGUCGAGUGGUGAUCUGAGGUUUAUUUAUGCACCUCAGUGUUGUUAUUCGGGCUUAUUUAGCUUUGUUUUUUAGGACUUCAUGUGUACUUAGUGAGUUAAGAAUGGAAUAAAUGAGCAUCUAAAUGUUAAAUUACUUUAUUACAAUGUUUACGAUUUUUUUCAAACAAGUUUGUAAUUAAAUUGGUCAUUUAGGGUUUAGACGAGACAACUAGUGUUAGGUUCUAGUUGAUUUCGAUGGAUUUUAGUGUGCGUAAUGAGUUUCUAAUGAUAUUAUUGUUUAAUUAUAUGUGGAAUAACUUAUUUAUAGAAUUUAAGUUUCAUGGAAUAACUUGUUUAUAGUGUUUAAGGUUCAAUUGAAACAAGCCAAGAGUGAAAGCCAAGUUAUAGAUCAAAACGGGCAAAAUUAGUAUUCUUAGCUUAAGUUUCUAGUUCACCAUCUUGGAUGUUGUGUUGUUUUGAGCUCUAAUUAGUGGUGUUUGAUGCUAUAUGAUUCUAAUUUAAUUGACUAUUAUGAUAUAUGGAUGUUACAUAAUCUGUUAAUCAAGUAAUCUGUUAAUCAAGUGAAAACAACACCAAAAGUCUUGGAAUGGAUGGACAAAAGCACGGGACAAGAUUUGACAUAAAUCGGACCUCUCGGAGUCCAUAGAACAUCAGGGAUAUUAUCCAGAUAUAUGGGGCAUGUGACAUGCCUUGGAAGCUUAAUAAUGGACCAAAAAUAGUGUAUAUCUAAGAUUAGGGUACAUCUCACACCCUAGGUACUGCAAUAGAGGGCGUGAUGUGGACUCUAGCUCAAAAUUGGUAGAUUUGACCUCCUAUAAAUAGGACACUUAAACAUAAUGCUAAACACCUUAGAAGAUCUUGAAACUUAGAGGGAGUAUGUAAAACCCUUCAAAUAGGUUUUUAUUUCUUUAGCUUAAUUUUUUUUAUGGAUUUUAUCAUGUAUUCAUCUAUCGUAAUUACGGUUAUGUCCAUGAGUAGCUAAAAGCCCCCCUUUUCCAGGGUUAAGGUCUAGAACAUGACUACUAUUUCUAUGAAUUGAUUUGGUUUUGAUUAUUUACAAUAUUUGGUUGUUUAUUUAUCCUUUUUGUCACUAUUUCAAGGAUUCAUGAAACUUAUGAGCUCAGAAGGAGGAACAAAAGGAUAGAAUGUGGGGUAAAUAGAAUAGGAUUGUAAUCUUCUACAGAAUAAAGUUAUAAUUUGCGCUUAGGAUAGUAAUAUACCUAUGUGACCUAUUUAGUUCACUGAUGGGAUGAAAUAUAAAUGCGUUUAACUUAGUUUUCACAUCCCCGCUCAACGGUGUAGUUGUGGAUCUAAGUUUGAUAGGUGAUUAGAGGCUUGAAAGAUCAUGACCAUAAUAUCAACCCCGUGAAUCAACAAUCAAGAUAAGUAACAUAACCAAUGAUGUUUAAUAGCAUAGUAUAAUUUUUUGUAGAGACUUAACCUUGGAUUUCUCUCCAUUGAUUAUCCAAGAACUUUACUUUCCGCACUGUUAACUUUAGUUAUAACUCUCUACUUUGUGGUUAUGUUUGCACUUGAUUAAUCUAAAUAGCAAACUAGAAUUGGAUAGUUUCUUAACACUAGUCCCUAUGAGAUAGAUACUUGGCCUUUAUAAGGCCACUUUACUACUUAGUGAGACCAUGUACACUUGCGUGUGUGCUCGAGCACAAUAGAAUAGAUAGUGGCAUAAAAAAAGAUGGAGCAAGUAUCUAUUAUUUGAAAAGGAAUGAGGAACAAAAACUAGAUACCUUCCUAAUUUAAUUUGUAAAUUAGGUUGGGUUAGGUUAUUAAUUUAUAAACGUUGGGCAAAUAAUUUACUAGUGAUGACUGCCUAUAGUGACUCAUUGUUAAUGACAACUCAUCAUCACCCUCUAUUAUGAAAUAAGGACUUAGAAAAGUCAUUUGAGGUAACCAGUCCCCAUGACCCAAGGCGACAAGUCUCUGUGUGUGGCAAUGACUCAUUGUGAGAGUUGUUGGGGUGACCAGUGACUUCUUUCUUACUCAUCCCUUAUCAACGAGUCACAUAAUGUGUCAUCAUGUGUUCAUACAAAUUGUUGGUGACUCGUUUGGACUGGGAACCUAAAUUUUUUUGUUGUGUUUUCAGUGAUGCUGUCCUACAUACUUUAACACAAAAUACCUUAUAAAAUUAAAGAGUGCAAAAUCAUGGGUUGCCUUCCAAGAAGAGCUUGAUUUAACAUCACAACAUGAUGUUGCAAAUUUGGUCACUUAGACUUCACCAACUAGCUCAUAUGUUGCCUCCAUUAAAGCAUCUCAUUUAAAGUCGCAACAUGACCCAACUCUUUUGACUACUCAGACUUCAUCAAGGUUCGAUUUUUCACAUGAUCUUAUCUCCUCUGUAGUUCUCACAUAGUGUUUCACCCAUUGAUUUUGACCUUGAAUGGUACACCUUCAUUUCCUUUUAGCUUAAUUGCAAUAUGCAGAAACACUCAUAUCAUAGUGAAUAGUCCAGAAUAUUUGGACCUUAGCUUGACAUGAAAUAAGAAACGUCUCGAAUUGUAUAGCAAGGCCAAGUACUAUUCUAGGUGAAAUUAUCUGUCUUCGAUCAGUAGUUAUGAUACAACUUCAGUUUUUUCUUGUAUAAAGCUGAGCUCUCAUAAGCAUUGAUACGAAAUUCAUCCAUCUAAUUAAUUUGUUCUAAUCUUACUUUUGCCAUAUUACUCCAUUCCAGAUUCAUUUUUUCUAAUGCCCACAGUACCUCAUGUUUAUGUUAUAGCAAAUGGCAAGCUUUGACAUACAUAAGUUGAUAUAAUGAAGAACCUAUAAGAGUCUUGAAUAUUUUCUGGUAGUCCCACAAUACAUCAUCCAACCUUUCAGCUCAGUUUGACCUAUUCACAAUAAUAGUCUCUAUUAAGAUAGACUUUAUCUCUCAAUUUGAGACCUCAACUUAUCCAGUCUUCUGAGGAUGAUAAUGAGUUGGCACCUUGUGUUUGACAACAUAUUCAUCAAGCAAGGUUUAAAGAGAUGAUUGUAAAAGUGCGAGUUUUCAUCGUUAAUGAUAGCUUGGGGGUAACUAAAUUUAGAGAAGAUAUUUUUCUUCAAACAGGUCGUGACACUCCUUCCUUUAUUGCUCGAAAGAGCAAUUUCUUCCACCCACUUAGACACAUAGUCCACAGUUAUCAAGAUGUACUUUAUUCCAUGAGAGCUAAUAAAUGGGCCCACAAAAUCAAUACCCAAAACAUCAAAUAACUCGAGCUUAAGGGUAGGCGUCAUUGGAAGUUCAUAUUUUCACAAGAUGUUACCUUGCCUUUGAUAUUGGUCACAAGCCUUAUCAUAAUCAUGCAUAUUAUUGUAGAUGGUGGGCCAAUACUAACUAUAUUGCAAGAUCUUGUGUGCAAUCCACGCAGCUCCAUGAUGACCUCCAACUAGUGACGAGUGACAUACCUCUAAGAUAAUUAUCAUCUCAAACUUAGAAGCACAUCUCUGAAUCACACCAUCUGCACAAACCCAAAACAAGUAUGAAUCAUCCCAAAAUAACUUCCUUACCUCAUGCAUGAACCAUUUUUGCUGUUGAAAUGACAUAUCUUCUAAAACUAGAUCACUUGCCAAAUAGUUGGAAAAAUCUGCAAACUAAGACACUAAGUCUUAUAAUGCUACCAAGACCCGCUCAUAUGGAAGAAUAUCAUCAAUUUCAAGCUCACCCCUUAGUUUUGGCACUGCCUCCUCCUCGGGGCAUGAUAAAUGGCCAACCACUUGAUUCUAAAUUUCAUUUUGAUCCUUGAACUCAAAGUCGAAUUUCGACAAUAAAUGUAUUCUUCUGAUCAACCUCAGUUUCACAUUUUUCAUCUCCAUAAUGUAUCUAAGAGCUGCAUGGUUAGUACACACGGUCACAUUUUUGCCAAGAAAGUAAGGACAAAAUAUCUUAAAUGCAAACACAAUAGCAAGCAACUCUUGUUCAACCACAGUAUAAUUCUUUCAAGCAGGGUUAAGUUCUUUGCUAGCAAGGUAGAUGAGAUGUAUGAUCAUCUUCUCUCACCUUUAGCCUAGAACUGAUCCUAGGCCACACCAGUAGCAUCGCACAUAACCACAAAUGAUAAGGUCCAAUCCGAAGACACAAUGAUAGGGGAGGCUGAAAUCAACUUCUCUUUCAGACACUUGAAUGCCUUUAGGCACGCCUCAUCGAAUAAAAAUUUCACAUCCUUCUCUAACAACGUGAACAACGGAUUCACAAUUUUAGAUAAGUACUUGAUGAAUCAUAUAUAAAAACCUUCAUGUCCAAAAAAAACUAUGAAUACCCUUCGUAGACAUUGUUGGAAGCAAUUUCUCAGUUACCUUAAUUUUGUGUUGUCGACCUCAAUUUCCUUCUUGGAAAUCUUAUGGCAGCCAAGCACUAUUCCUUCUCUAACAAUGAAGUGGCACUAAUCCUAAUUCACAACCAAGUAGCAUUCCUCACAUCUCCAAAGAACAUUGGAAAGGUGUGCCAAACAAUUAUCAAAUGAGUCAGCCACAUGUGAAAAGUCAUCCAUGAAAACCUUAAUAGUAUCAAAAUCCCCAUUUUGAAGUAUUCACGGUUAAAAAAUUGAUCUCAGUCCAAAUCUCCUAGUAAAUGGCUUUAGAUGGAAUUCCAAUAGUGUCAUCAACUCUAGAAUAUUGAUUUUAGGCUAAGGGAACCCUUGAUUCAGGUCCUAAGGCUUUUGGACUCAAUUUGAGCUAUUAGAUAGAAAUUAAUUUAAUAAAAUUAGGUGUGGAACCCAUAUUUAAUUGAUGUGGGACCUAUAUUUAAUCGAAAUAAUCUCUGAUGAAAGUUUUAAUAUUUUUUUGAGUCUAGAAUGUUGAAUUUUAUAUGGUAGCAUAGUUCAUUUGCGUGCAUGUGAUUCUGAACGAAUCUCGAACCCCCCAUCGAAGUCCAUUUAGACUUAAGAAAUUAUUGAUAUGUAAUAGCUAGUGCAGGGGUAAUUUAGGGUUCACUGUGAGGGGUAAGCUGCAUUCGCAAAGGGUCAAGACCUUGACCAUUGUAUUCAUGGGCCUUCUCUCGUAUUCGCGAUGAAGGGUUGAACAACCCAACACUUCUCCUUCAUCGUAUUCGCGACUAUCAGUGUCAUGUUUAAGAUAGCCAAGCUUGCUUGGCUUCGCAUUCCCUUGCCUAUGUUCACAAGGAAAAUUCCCGUGACCUUCACCUUCGCGAAACUUUGGCCUCACAUUCGCGAAGGGUAUUUCCGUGGCAGUAUAUAAACUUCUCUUCCUCAAUUUUCAUUAUUAUUUCUCACCCAUUUUCGCCAUUUUAAUCCUAGGAACUCAAGAAAGUACAAAAAAUAAUCCUAUUUAUCCUAACUAGCUUAAACUAUGCUUCAUCCAACAUCUCAGAUUCUGUCCUCAAACUUCCACCGAAUACAAGAUACCACGGGGCAUUCCCCAGUAAAUGUGCAGGUUUGAUAAAAAAAGGAUAAAAAUAGCAAAUAUUUAAACCAGUAAUUCAACCAUGCAACAACUAUGAAAUCUUAAAAUUUGCCUACCCAUAUCAAUGUUGUGAACAUGAUACUAUUAAUAAAAAAUAAUCCAAAUUAAUAGCAACAUUAGAUUAAAACAAAUCAAUUUAUGAUUGAGUUUAUUAAUUAUUUAAUUCCUCUCCAAAUAAUUAAAUUCUACCCCAAAUACAAGUCAACAUGAUAGGAAGAAAAAUAGUUCAUUCAACAUCUACAAAUAUCAGCUAUCUUGGCAUUUAACCACUAGGAAAACUGUGAGAGUCAUUAUCAAGAGCUUGAAAAGGUUAACAGAGUUAAGUAGAUUUAGUGUCUGUUUGGGAUUGCUAGUUUAAAAAAAAUAUUUUUUUUUUAAAAGAAGAAUGUUUGGUAAUCUUGUAAAAGUGUUCUUUUUAGAAAUAGUUUUUCUGUUUCUAAAAAGAAGCAAAAAUUUUUUGUUUUUCAAAAAAGUAGAAGCAAAAGCAGAAAAUUAUUCUUUUCAUGACAAAAAUAUCUCUACUACUCUCUAACACACACAUAUAGUGAUUUAAUUUAUGGAAUAAAUUUUAUAUUAAUUUUUGUUUGAUAUUUUUAAUUAAUAGUUAAAUUAUUUAAGUAAUUUAUCAUUAUUUAAUAUUUUUAAUAUAUUUAUGCAUAUAAAUAUAGAUUGAAAAUUUUAGAGUAGGUAUUUUUUAAUUAAAUAAAAAUAAUAUUUUAAUUAAAAUCUAUAAUACAUAUUUAAAAUAAAUUUUCUCUAUAAAUAGAUUUUAGUAAUAAAAGUCUACUAUACAUGACCUUUUUAGUUAUUUACAUAAAAAACACUUUUUAAAAAAAAUUAUUCAAACAUAAUCUGUUUAUCAAAACAUUUUUCAAAUAAAUUUAUCAAAUACAAAAACUAUUUUAUAAAAGUAUUUGUCAAAUAAAUAGUGUUGUAACAACAAUUUCAAACAAGCUCUUACAGAGAUUAUACCUCAAAUUGGCUUUUAUUAACUUCCAUGUACGGAGAUCCAACAACGAUGAAACAGAGUUUAUGAGGUAUAGUAACCCAAAAUUUGGAACCUCAAUUGAAACUCGAACAACAGCCUCAAAUCCUAUCCAUCAAUGAUAACCACAUCUACGAACACGUUAACUCGAUCAAAACCAAUAGUUCAGAACAAACGGGAUUGGGGGGAGGGGAGGGGGUUGCUUAUUUAUAUUGGCGAAGAAAGAGGCGGGAUCGAGUUGAGAAGAGGGGAGUUGACCAUGAUGAUGGUGGAGAUGAAAAUCGAUAGUGGAGUGUGUGUGUUAAUUUUGUUAAUGGAGAAUGAAUAUUGUGCUAUGGAGAAUGGAGGGAGGAUGAAGAUGAUGUUCAUGGUGAAGUUGUGUGUGUCUGAAUUUCUUGAUUGGUGCCUGAAAAUGGAAGGAUUCACAGUAUACGGGUAAGUGUUUCCAAUGGGUUGAUGUUGGUUGUUACAAUUAAUGCGAACGAAAAUUGAAAAACAUGGAGGAGUUUCCAUUGUUGAUGUUGCUGGAAAAAUAUGGAGAGCGUUGAUGAUAAUAAUUUUAAAUGGUGGAAAUUAUGGAAGAAGAGUGGAGGUCUGUUUACUGGAAAUUUGGAUUAGGGGAGGAGUAUGUAUUGGAUUCUUGUGCAGGUGUCUUCAAUCCGUGUAAAGAUGGGUGUGUGUAUAUGUAUUCUGUUGGUGUGAGAGAGGAAAGAAAAAUGUGAGCUUCUUGUUAUUUUGUUUUUUAGGGGACGGGUUGUUAGGCAAGGUAAAU